GCGUUGUUCGGAAUCACUGGGCGUAAAGGGUGCGUAGGUGGCGUGGUAAGUCAGAUGUGAAAGCCCGGGGCUCAACCUCGGAACUGCAUCCGAUACUGCCAUGCUAGAGUACUGGAGAGGUGACUAGAAUUCUCGGUGUAGCAGUGAAAUGCGUAGAUAUCGAGAGGAAUACCAAAGGCGUAGGCAGGUCACUGGACAGUUACUGACACUGAGGCACGAAGGCCAG
Molecule: ribosomal RNA, 226 nt
Filed under: uncultured bacterium
Lineage: Bacteria
Description: partial 16S ribosomal RNA
Rfam family: Bacterial small subunit ribosomal RNA
Source: RNAcentral